GACAGAGGGUGCAAACGUUGUUCGGAUUUACUGGGCGUAAAGCGCGUGUAGGCGGCUUGGCAAGUUGGAUGUGAAAACCAGAGGCUCAACCUCUGGCCUGCAUCCGAUACUGCCCGACUAGAGGUAGGUAGGGGAGAUCGGAAUUCCUGGUGUAGCGGUGAAAUGCGCAGAUAUCAGGAGGAACACCGGUGGCGAAGGCGGAUCUCUGGGCCUUACCUGACGCUGAGGCGCGAAAGCUAGGGGAGCAAACAGG
Molecule: ribosomal RNA, 253 nt
Filed under: uncultured bacterium
Lineage: Bacteria
Description: partial 16S ribosomal RNA
Rfam family: Bacterial small subunit ribosomal RNA
Source: RNAcentral